RNAcentral lists this ribosomal RNA (563 nucleotides) under uncultured bacterium. RNAcentral's name for it is "bacterial SSU rRNA". It matches the Rfam family "Bacterial small subunit ribosomal RNA", at positions 338 to 916 of the family's 1533-position model. The record is from RNAcentral.
CCUACGGGAGGCAGCAGUGGGGAAUUUUCCGCAAUGGGCGAAAGCCUGACGGAGCAAUACCGCGUGAGGGAGGAAGGCUCUUGGGUUGUAAACCUCUUUUUUCAGGGAAGAUAAUGACGGUACCUGAGGAAUAAGCAUCGGCUAACUCCGUGCCAGCAGCCGCGGUAAUACGGAGGAUGCAAGCGUUAUCCGGAAUGAUUGGGCGUAAAGCGUCCGCAGGUGGUUUUAAAAGUCUGUUGUUAAAGCGUGAGGCUUAACCUCAUAAGGGCAAUGGAAACUGUAAGACUAGAGUACGUUCGGGGCAAGGGGAAUUCCCAGUGUAGCGGUGAAAUGCGUAGAGAUUGGGAAGAACACCGGUGGCGAAAGCGCCUUGCUAGGCCGUAACUGACACUGAGGGACGAAAGCUAGGGGAGCGAAUGGGAUUAGGAUACCCCAGUAGUCCUAGCCGUAAACGAUGGAUACUAGGCGUUGUCUAGUAUCGACCCGGACAGUGCCGUAGCUAACGCGUUAAGUAUCCGCCUGGGGAGUACGCACGCAAGUGUGAAACUCAAAGGAAUUGACGG